RNAcentral lists this ribosomal RNA (635 nucleotides) under Mycobacterium sp. Se2Pt_1599. Its description in RNAcentral is "bacterial SSU rRNA". It matches the Rfam family "Bacterial small subunit ribosomal RNA", at positions 383 to 1030 of the family's 1533-position model. The record is from RNAcentral. Lineage: Bacteria; Bacillati; Actinomycetota; Actinomycetes; Mycobacteriales; Mycobacteriaceae.
CUGAUGCAGCGACGCCGCGUGAGGGAUGACGGCCUUCGGGUUGUAAACCUCUUUCAGCACAGACGAAGCGCAAGUGACGGUAUGUGCAGAAGAAGGACCGGCCAACUACGUGCCAGCAGCCGCGGUAAUACGUAGGGUCCGAGCGUUGUCCGGAAUUACUGGGCGUAAAGAGCUCGUAGGUGGUUUGUCGCGUUGUUCGUGAAAACUCACAGCUUAACUGUGGGCGUGCGGGCGAUACGGGCAGACUUGAGUACUGCAGGGGAGACUGGAAUUCCUGGUGUAGCGGUGGAAUGCGCAGAUAUCAGGAGGAACACCGGUGGCGAAGGCGGGUCUCUGGGCAGUAACUGACGCUGAGGAGCGAAAGCGUGGGGAGCGAACAGGAUUAGAUACCCUGGUAGUCCACGCCGUAAACGGUGGGUACUAGGUGUGGGUUUCCUUCCUUGGGAUCCGUGCCGUAGCUAACGCAUUAAGUACCCCGCCUGGGGAGUACGGCCGCAAGGCUAAAACUCAAAGAAAUUGACGGGGGCCCGCACAAGCGGCGGAGCAUGUGGAUUAAUUCGAUGCAACGCGAAGAACCUUACCUGGGUUUGACAUGCACAGGACGCUGGUAGAGAUAUCAGUUCCCUUGUGGCCUG